RNAcentral lists this ribosomal RNA (494 nucleotides) under uncultured bacterium. Its description in RNAcentral is "bacterial SSU rRNA". It matches the Rfam family "Bacterial small subunit ribosomal RNA", at positions 501 to 991 of the family's 1533-position model. The record is from RNAcentral.
CUACGUGCCAGCAGCCGCGGUCAUACGUAGGGUGCAAGCAUUAUCCGGAGUGACUGGGCGUAAAGAGUUGCGUAGGCGGUUUAAUAAGUGAAUAGUGAAACCUGGUGGCUCAMCCAUACAGACUAUUAUUCAAACUGUUAAACUCGAGAAUGGUAGAGGUAACUGGAAUUUCUAGUGUAGGAGUGAAAUCCGUAGAUAUUAGAAGGAACACCGAUGGCGUAGGCAGGUUACUGGGCCAUUUCUGACGCUAAGGCACGAAAGCGUGGGGAGCGAACCGGAUUAGAUACCCGGGUAGUCCACGCCGUAAACGAUGGAUACUAGCUGUUGGAGGUAUCGACCCCUUCAGUAGCGAAGCUAACGCGUUAAGUAUCCCGCCUGUGGAGUACGGCCGCAAGGCUAAAACAUAAAGGAAUUGACGGGGACCCGCACAAGCGGUGGAUUAUGUUCUUUAAUUCGAUGAUAACCGAAGAACCUUACCAGGGCUUGACAUCCAG